GAUGGACGCUGGCGGCGUGCCUAAUACAUGCCAGUCGAGCGAACAGACGAGGAGCUUGCUCCUCUGACGUUAGCGGCGGACGGGUGAGUAACACGUGGAUAACCUACCUAUAAGACUGGGAUAACUUCGGGAAACCGGAGCUAAUACCGGAUAAUAUAUUGAACCGCAUGGAUCAAUAGUGAAAGACGGUUUUGCUGUCACUUAUAGAUGGAUCCGCGCCGCAUUAGCUAGUUGGUAAGGUAACAGCUUACCAAGGCAACGAUGCGUAGCCGACCUGAGAGGGUGAUCGGCCACACUGGAACUGAGACACGGUCCAGACUCCUACGGGAGGCAGCAGUAGGGAAUCUUCCGCAAUGGGCGAAAGCCUGACGGAGCAACGCCGCGUGAGUGAUGAAGGUCUUCGGAUCGUAAAACUCUGUUAUUAGGGAAGAACAAAUGUGUAAGUAACUAUGCACGUCUUGACGGUACCUAAUCAGAAAGCCACGGCUAACUACGUG
RNAcentral lists this ribosomal RNA (497 nucleotides) under uncultured bacterium. Its description in RNAcentral is "partial 16S ribosomal RNA". It matches the Rfam family "Bacterial small subunit ribosomal RNA", at positions 28 to 507 of the family's 1533-position model. The record is from RNAcentral.